UGGGGAAUUUUGGACAAUGGGCGAAAGCCUGAUCCAGCAAUGCCGCGUGUGUGAAGAAGGCCUUCGGGUUGUAAAGCACUUUUGUCCGGAAAGAAAUCCUUGGCUCUAAUACAGUCGGGGGGUGACGGUACCGGAAGAAUAAGCACCGGCUAACUACGUGCCAGCAGCCGCGGUAAUACGUAGGGUGCAAGCGUUAAUCGGAAUUACUGGGCGUAAAGCGUGCGCAGGCGGUUUGCUAAGACCGAUGUGAAAUCCCCGGGCUCAACCUGGGAACUGCAUUGGUGACUGGCAGGCUAGAGUAUGGCAGAGGGGGGUAGAAUUCCACGUGUAGCAGUGAAAUGCGUAGAGAUGUGGAGGAAUACCGAUGGCGAAGGCAGCCCCCUGGGCCAAUACUGACGCUCAUGCACGAAAGCGUGGGGAGCAAACAGGAUUAGAUACCCUGGUAGUCCACGCCCUAAACGAUGUCAACUAGUUGUUGGGGAUUCAUUUCCUUAGUAACGUAGCUAACGCGUGAAGUUGACCGCCUGGGGAGUACGGUCGCAAGAUUAAAACUUAAAGGAAUUGACGGGGUCAUAGCUGUUUCCU
Molecule: ribosomal RNA, 585 nt
Filed under: uncultured bacterium
Lineage: Bacteria
Description: partial 16S ribosomal RNA
Rfam family: Bacterial small subunit ribosomal RNA
Source: RNAcentral